RNAcentral lists this ribosomal RNA (253 nucleotides) under uncultured bacterium. RNAcentral describes it as "partial 16S ribosomal RNA". It matches the Rfam family "Bacterial small subunit ribosomal RNA", at positions 524 to 776 of the family's 1533-position model. The record is from RNAcentral.
UACGGAGGGUGCAAGCGUUAUCCGGAUUCACUGGGUUUAAAGGGUGCGUAGGUGGGCUGGUAAGUCCGUGGUGAAAUCUCCGAGCUUAACUCGGAAACUGCCGUGGAUACUAUCAGUCUUGAAUAUCGUGGAGGUAAGCGGAAUAUGUCAUGUAGCGGUGAAAUGCUUAGAUAUGACAUAGAACACCGAUAGCGGAGGCAGCUUACUACGCGAUUAUUGACACUGAGGCACGAAAGCGUGGGGAUCAAACAGG